AAGUCGUAACAAGGUAACCGUAGGUGAACCUGCGGUUGGAUCAUUAACAAAUAUAGAAGGUCUUCAAGACCUCUCUAACCUAUUGUGAAUCGUUUAUUGUCUCUGGGCGAGUAAUCGCCAAGUAAACUUUGUAAAAAAUUAUUAGUCUAUAAAUCUUUUUAUUAAAUUAAAAACAACUUUUAACAACGGAUCUCUAGGCUCUC
Molecule: unclassified non-coding RNA, 203 nt
Filed under: fungal sp.
Lineage: Eukaryota; Fungi
Description: partial internal transcribed spacer region
Rfam family: Eukaryotic small subunit ribosomal RNA (bases 1-46)
Source: RNAcentral